This 256-nucleotide ribosomal RNA is filed under the name uncultured bacterium. RNAcentral describes it as "partial 16S ribosomal RNA". It matches the Rfam family "Bacterial small subunit ribosomal RNA", at positions 524 to 778 of the family's 1533-position model. The record is from RNAcentral.
UACGUAGGGGGCAAGCGUUGUCCGGAUUUAUUGGGCGUAAAGAGCGUGUAGGCGGCCAUACAGGUCAGCUGUGAAAACUCGAGGCUCAACCUCGAGACGUCGGUUGAAACCGUAUGGCUAGAGUCCGGAAGAGGAGAGUGGAAUUCCCGGUGUAGCGGUGAAAUGCGCAGAUAUCGGGAAGAACACCCGUGGCGAAGGCGGCUCUCGUGGGACGGUACUGACGCUGAGACGCGAAAGCGUGGGGAGCGAACGAGGA